Molecule: ribosomal RNA, 301 nt
Filed under: uncultured bacterium
Lineage: Bacteria
Description: partial 16S ribosomal RNA
Rfam family: Bacterial small subunit ribosomal RNA
Source: RNAcentral
CAGUCGCCGCGGGAAUACGAAGGGUGCAAGCGUUAAUCGGAAUUACUGGGCGUAAAGCGUGCGUAGGCGGUGAGUUAAGUCUGCUGUGAAAUCCCCGGGCUCAACCUGGGGAUGGCAGUGGAUACUGGCUCGCUAGAGUGUGUCAGAGGAUGGUGGAAUUCCCGGUGUAGCGGUGAAAUGCGUAGAGAUCGGGAGGAACAUCAGUGGCGAAGGCGGCCAUCUGGGACAACACUGACGCUGAGGCACGAAAGCGUGGGGAGCAAACAGGAUUAGAUACCCCGGUAGUCCCUGUCUCUUAUAC